GAUGAACGCUGGCGGCGUGCUUAACACAUGCAAGUCGAACGGAAAGGCCCAAGCUUGCUUGGGUACUCGAGUGGCGAACGGGUGAGUAACACGUGGGUGAUCUGCCCUGCACUUCGGGAUAAGCCUGGGAAACUGGGUCUAAUACCGGAUAGGACGAUGGUUUGGAUGCCAUUGUGGAAAGUUUUUUCGGUGUGGGAUGAGCUCGCGGCCUAUCAGCUUGUUGGUGGGGUAAUGGCCUACCAAGGCGUCGACGGGUAGCCGGCCUGAGAGGGUGUACGGCCACAUUGGGACUGAGAUACGGCCCAGACUCCUACGGGAGGCAGCAGUGGGGAAUAUUGCACAAUGGGCGCAAGCCUGAUGCAGCGACGCCGCGUGGGGGAUGACGGCCUUCGGGUUGUAAACUCCUUUCGCUAGGGACGAAGCGUUUUUGUGACGGUACCUGGAGAAGAAGCACCGGCUAACUACAUG
RNAcentral lists this ribosomal RNA (468 nucleotides) under uncultured bacterium. RNAcentral's name for it is "partial 16S ribosomal RNA". It matches the Rfam family "Bacterial small subunit ribosomal RNA", at positions 28 to 507 of the family's 1533-position model. The record is from RNAcentral.